This 419-nucleotide ribosomal RNA is filed under the name uncultured bacterium. Its description in RNAcentral is "bacterial SSU rRNA". It matches the Rfam family "Bacterial small subunit ribosomal RNA", at positions 356 to 774 of the family's 1533-position model. The record is from RNAcentral.
AAGGAAUAUUGCUCAAUGGGAGAAAUCCUGAAGCAGCAACGCCGCGUGGAGGAUGAAGGGUCUAUGACUUGUAAACUCCUGUAAAGAAGGAAAAAAUUCCCAUUUGAUGGGAGAUGAUGGUACUUCUGGAGUAAGCCCCGGCUAACUACGUGCCAGCAGCCGCGGUAAUACGAAGGGGGCUAGCGUUGCUCGGAAUUACUGGGCGUAAAGCGCACGUAGGCGGACUCUUAAGUCGGUGGUGAAAUCCUGGAGCUCAACUCCAGAACUGCCUUCGAUACUGGGAGUCUUGAGUUCGGGAGAGGUGAGUGGAACUGCGAGUGUAGAGGUGAAAUUCGUAGAUAUUCGCAAGAACACCAGUGGCGAAGGCGGCUCACUGGCCCGAUACUGACGCUGAGGUGCGAAAGCGUGGGGAGCAAACA